GGCAAUGGGGGCAACCCUGACCGAGCAACGCCGCGUGAGUGAAGAAGGUUUUCGGAUCGUAAAGCUCUGUUGUAAGUCAAGAACGGGUGUGAGAGUGGAAAGUUCACACUGUGACGGUAGCUUACCAGAAAGGGACGGCUAACUACGUGCCAGCAGCCGCGGUAAUACGUAGGUCCCGAGCGUUGUCCGGAUUUAUUGGG
Molecule: ribosomal RNA, 200 nt
Filed under: uncultured eubacterium A19-K3
Lineage: Bacteria
Description: partial 16S ribosomal RNA
Rfam family: Bacterial small subunit ribosomal RNA
Source: RNAcentral